This 459-nucleotide ribosomal RNA is filed under the name uncultured bacterium. Its description in RNAcentral is "partial 16S ribosomal RNA". It matches the Rfam family "Bacterial small subunit ribosomal RNA", at positions 338 to 795 of the family's 1533-position model. The record is from RNAcentral.
UCUACGGGUGGCAGCAGUGAGGAAUAUUGGUCAAUGGGCGUAAGCCUGAACCAGCCAAGUCGCGUGAGGGCCGACGGCCCUACGGGUUGUAAACCUCUUUUGCCGGGGGGUAAACGGCGUCACGCGUGCCGUUCUGAGGGUACCCGGAGAAAAAGCAUCGGCUAAGUCCGUGCCAGCAGCCGCGGUAAUACGGAGGAUGCGAGCGUUAUCCGGAUUUAUUGGGGUUAAAGGGUGCGUAGGCGGGAGGCCAAGUAUGCGGUCAAAUGCGGGGGCUCAACCUGCGUCCGCCGUUGAAACUGGCGUGCUUGAGUGGGCGAGAAGUACGCGGAAUGCGUGGUGUAGCGGUGAAAUGCAUAGAUAUCACGCAGAACCCCGAUUGCGAAGGCAGCGUACCGGCGCCCGACUGACGCUAAAGCACGAAAGCGUGGGUAUCGAACAGGAUUAGAUACCCCGGUAGUC